Molecule: non-coding RNA, 91 nt
Filed under: uncultured eukaryote
Lineage: Eukaryota
Source: RNAcentral
AAAUAUAAUAAAAAAAGAAAAUAGGCUGGUCACCGGCGUAUGCGUGGGAUUCUUAUUUCGUAUUUCAUAUUUCUUAUUCUUAUUCUUGUUU